GACGAACGCUGGCGGCGUGCCUAAUACAUGCAAGUAGAACGCACAGUUUAUACCGUAGCUUGCUACACCAUAGACUGUGAGUUGCGAACGGGUGAGUAACGCGUAGGUAACCUGCCUGGUAGCGGGGGAUAACUAUUGGAAACGAUAGCUAAUACCGCAUAAUAUUAAUUAUUGCAUGAUAAUUAAUUGAAAGGUGCAAUUGCACCACUACCAGAUGGACCUGCGUUGUAUUAGCUAGUAGGUGAGGUAACGGCUCACCUAGGCGACGAUACAUAGCCGACCUGAGAGGGUGAUCGGCCACACUGGGACUGAGACACGGCCCAGACUCCCACGGGAGGCAGCAGUAGGGAAUCUUCGGCAAUGGACGAAAGUCUGACCGAGCAACGCCGCGUGAGUGAAGAAGGUUUUCGGAUCGUGAAGCUCUGUUGUAAGAGAAGAACGGGUGCGAGAGUGGAAAGUUCACACUGUGACGGUAUCUUACCAGAAAGGGACGGCUAACUACGUG
This 505-nucleotide ribosomal RNA is filed under the name uncultured bacterium. RNAcentral describes it as "partial 16S ribosomal RNA". It matches the Rfam family "Bacterial small subunit ribosomal RNA", at positions 28 to 507 of the family's 1533-position model. The record is from RNAcentral.